CUAUUGGGAAUGAAGUUCUCCCAUGGGUAUAAAUCCCUAAACCGCAAUUAUGCUGAUGACUUCUGCGA
RNAcentral lists this non-coding RNA (68 nucleotides) under uncultured Ruminococcus sp. RNAcentral's name for it is "Fluoride riboswitch". It matches the Rfam family "Fluoride riboswitch aptamer (crcB RNA motif)", at positions 10 to 60 of the family's 64-position model. The record is from RNAcentral. Lineage: Bacteria; Bacillati; Bacillota; Clostridia; Eubacteriales; Oscillospiraceae.